This 23-nucleotide non-coding RNA is filed under the name Cricetulus griseus (Chinese hamster). Lineage: Eukaryota; Metazoa; Chordata; Mammalia; Rodentia; Cricetidae. The record is from RNAcentral.
ACAGGUGGAACCUACGCGUAGCG